Molecule: ribosomal RNA, 2455 nt
Filed under: Staphylococcus aureus
Lineage: Bacteria; Bacillati; Bacillota; Bacilli; Caryophanales; Staphylococcaceae
Description: bacterial LSU rRNA
Rfam family: Bacterial large subunit ribosomal RNA
Source: RNAcentral
AGGGCGCACGGUGGAUGCCUUGGCACUAGAAGCCGAUGAAGGACGUUACUAACGACGAUAUGCUUUGGGGAGCUGUAAGUAAGCUUUGAUCCAGAGAUUUCCGAAUGGGGAAACCCAGCAUGAGUUAUGUCAUGUUAUCGAUAUGUGAAUACAUAGCAUAUCAGAAGGCACACCCGGAGAACUGAAACAUCUUAGUACCCGGAGGAAGAGAAAGAAAAUUCGAUUCCCUUAGUAGCGGCGAGCGAAACGGGAAGAGCCCAAACCAACAAGCUUGCUUGUUGGGGUUGUAGGACACUCUAUACGGAGUUACAAAGGACGACAUUAGACGAAUCAUCUGGAAAGAUGAAUCAAAGAAGGUAAUAAUCCUGUAGUCGAAAAUGUUGUCUCUCUUGAGUGGAUCCUGAGUACGACGGAGCACGUGAAAUUCCGUCGGAAUCUGGGAGGACCAUCUCCUAAGGCUAAAUACUCUCUAGUGACCGAUAGUGAACCAGUACCGUGAGGGAAAGGUGAAAAGCACCCCGGAAGGGGAGUGAAAUAGAACCUGAAACCGUGUGCUUACAAGUAGUCAGAGCCCGUUAAUGGGUGAUGGCGUGCCUUUUGUAGAAUGAACCGGCGAGUUACGAUUUGAUGCAAGGUUAAGCAGUAAAUGUGGAGCCGUAGCGAAAGCGAGUCUGAAUAGGGCGUUUAGUAUUUGGUCGUAGACCCGAAACCAGGUGAUCUACCCUUGGUCAGGUUGAAGUUCAGGUAACACUGAAUGGAGGACCGAACCGACUUACGUUGAAAAGUGAGCGGAUGAACUGAGGGUAGCGGAGAAAUUCCAAUCGAACCUGGAGAUAGCUGGUUCUCUCCGAAAUAGCUUUAGGGCUAGCCUCAAGUGAUGAUUAUUGGAGGUAGAGCACUGUUUGGACGAGGGGCCCCUCUCGGGUUACCGAAUUCAGACAAACUCCGAAUGCCAAUUAAUUUAACUUGGGAGUCAGAACAUGGGUGAUAAGGUCCGUGUUCGAAAGGGAAACAGCCCAGACCACCAGCUAAGGUCCCAAAAUAUAUGUUAAGUGGAAAAGGAUGUGGCGUUGCCCAGACAACUAGGAUGUUGGCUUAGAAGCAGCCAUCAUUUAAAGAGUGCGUAAUAGCUCACUAGUCGAGUGACACUGCGCCGAAAAUGUACCGGGGCUAAACAUAUUACCGAAGCUGUGGAUUGUCCUUUGGACAAUGGUAGGAGAGCGUUCUAAGGGCGUUGAAGCAUGAUCGUAAGGACAUGUGGAGCGCUUAGAAGUGAGAAUGCCGGUGUGAGUAGCGAAAGACGGGUGAGAAUCCCGUCCACCGAUUGACUAAGGUUUCCAGAGGAAGGCUCGUCCGCUCUGGGUUAGUCGGGUCCUAAGCUGAGGCCGACAGGCGUAGGCGAUGGAUAACAGGUUGAUAUUCCUGUACCACCUAUAAUCGUUUUAAUCGAUGGGGGGACGCAGUAGGAUAGGCGAAGCGUGCGAUUGGAUUGCACGUCUAAGCAGUAAGGCUGAGUAUUAGGCAAAUCCGGUACUCAUUAAGGCUGAGCUGUGAUGGGGAGAAGACAUUGUGUCUUCGAGUCGUUGAUUUCACACUGCCGAGAAAAGCCUCUAGAUAGAAAAUAGGUGCCCGUACCGCAAACCGACACAGGUAGUCAAGAUGAGAAUUCUAAGGUGAGCGAGCGAACUCUCGUUAAGGAACUCGGCAAAAUGACCCCGUAACUUCGGGAGAAGGGGUGCUCUUUAGGGUUAACGCCCAGAAGAGCCGCAGUGAAUAGGCCCAAGCGACUGUUUAUCAAAAACACAGGUCUCUGCUAAACCGUAAGGUGAUGUAUAGGGGCUGACGCCUGCCCGGUGCUGGAAGGUUAAGAGGAGUGGUUAGCUUCUGCGAAGCUACGAAUCGAAGCCCCAGUAAACGGCGGCCGUAACUAUAACGGUCCUAAGGUAGCGAAAUUCCUUGUCGGGUAAGUUCCGACCCGCACGAAAGGCGUAACGAUUUGGGCACUGUCUCAACGAGAGACUCGGUGAAAUCAUAGUACCUGUGAAGAUGCAGGUUACCCGCGACAGGACGGAAAGACCCCGUGGAGCUUUACUGUAGCCUGAUAUUGAAAUUCGGCACAGCUUGUACAGGAUAGGUAGGAGCCUUUGAAACGUGAGCGCUAGCUUACGUGGAGGCGCUGGUGGGAUACUACCCUAGCUGUGUUGGCUUUCUAACCCGCACCACUUAUCGUGGUGGGAGACAGUGUCAGGCGGGCAGUUUGACUGGGGCGGUCGCCUCCUAAAAGGUAACGGAGGCGCUCAAAGGUUCCCUCAGAAUGGUUGGAAAUCAUUCAUAGAGUGUAAAGGCAUAAGGGAGCUUGACUGCGAGACCUACAAGUCGAGCAGGGUCGAAAGACGGACUUAGUGAUCCGGUGGUUCCGCAUGGAAGGGCCAUCGCUCAACGGAUAAAAGCUACC